GGAGAGUCUCUUUCAUUUUUUUUUCUUAAAAAGUGGGAGUAAUGAUCUUAAUUGAUGUUAUCAAAAAAGAAAAGUAGAGAAAUAAAAUCGAGCAAUAAGCAAAAUUGUCUAAAAUAGAGCAAUAAGCAAAAUUGUCAAAGCAAAUUUGUCAAAAGAAAAUAAUCUUAUAAAAUUGAGCAAUAAACAAAUGUGUCCAAAAAAAUAAUCUUAUAAGCAAUUUUCAAACUAAUCUUCAAACUACUCAUGAUGCAU
RNAcentral lists this long non-coding RNA (252 nucleotides) under Elaeis guineensis (African oil palm). Its description in RNAcentral is "long non-coding RNA (EGUI_LNC073133)". The record is from RNAcentral. Lineage: Eukaryota; Viridiplantae; Streptophyta; Magnoliopsida; Arecales; Arecaceae.